CUGAAUGGUCCUGGAACACCAAAGUUUUGGAGUGUCUUUGUAUUUUACUGCAUUUGUAAUAUUUUCCAUCUAUGAGAAAUGUUUCAUAUGUGUUUUGUUUUUUUUCAUCUAUAGAUCCAUAUAAUGAUAGAGAGGUGCAGCAGUACCUUCUUUGGAGCAAUGCACAACAUGCAGCAAAAAUGUUCACUGCCCUUUCAAACCGACAAGACAAGACAAAUUGAACGCACACAUUAAAAACCACUUCAAAAAGGCUGUUGUCCAUGGAGAUUUCACUUUGCACAGAUGUGGAUUGGGCUGCAGACCAACACUACACUUCCAUUGUGUCUACUGUACAGCUACAGUUUUAAGAAGAGAUGAUUUUCAGAAUCAUUUAGAUGUUUGUAAAUGGAAGCAGCAUUCCACAUCAUGCAAAAUGCCACCAACCACCACUGCAGCCUUGACAAUACCAGCGCCUCCUGGGACCCCAUCAGCCACCAGCACCCUACGUAACAUGCGCUUACAAAAAAUGACUGCAGUACAUUGAAGUACAACUGUAGAUUUGCUGUAUGAUGAAGUACAGAUACAAUAUAACUACAGUUCAGUGAUACGCUGAAAUGCAUGUGAAGAUUUCAGAUGCAAAAACUUCUAAGUCUGUCUGAUUAAAUUGAUUUUAUUUAUUUUUAUGAGCAUUGUUUUAAAAACACUCCUACGAUUAGGUUCAAUAAUUAAACUUGAAUGUUAAUGAGGUUCUUUUCAUUGCCAUUAAAGUCUUCAUGUAUAGGCUGCAGUUAUACUGUAUUAAUUUGUGCAACAUGUAGCAAGUGCUGUGGUUACAGUAGACUUGGCAAGUGUCUUUUAUUAAAUUUUUUGUAAUGUAGACUUCCUAUUAAAUAUUUCGUACAAAAAUAUUUUUGUACAAAAAAAAAAAAAAAAUUUGCCUAUGGAAUAUUUCACCCGCAUAGAUGAAUAGUCCACACGCGUGAUCUUCCUUCGCGCAAACAAGUCUCGCAAGCAGCUGAUUACUUGUAACGGCGUCUUUUACGUAGUGUCUACUGCAGAAUGGAUAUAAAAGUAUAAAAUAUGUUUUGGUUUGACAACAUUGUUCAUAUCUGAACUAUCACAAUUAAAGCACAAAGACAUAACAACAUUACACUCCGAGACCUUUCACAAGUGCGACAAAAGAGAAGAAACGCUUUCCAGAAGAAGUUCAUCAGGCGAGUUGGAGACUAGUUGACUCAUCCAGUUUAGCGGUGAGUAUAAUGUCUAAUGUCCUCAUAUAUCUUUAGUUAUAAUUUUAGAGAGAUGUAAAAAGACUUGACGGAUAUCUUAUUCAACCCGCUGAGAUGAGAAGAAACGCUGCUUCAGUGCUGAUCUGUAGCGCUCGCGGGUCUGUGCACAGAACACACAGAACUGAAGUCUGAGAGGAAGACAAAACAACUGGUUUAAUGCUGUUUUUACUAUAAUAAAACAAAUUACAAUUACAUUAUAAAAUGUCAAAAUCUCAUCUAAUAAAACAUCAACAUCUCAAUCCAACUAUAGUGACAACCCUGUGUAUAGAUGUAUUUAACUCUGCUGUGGCUCAGCAAUUUGUUUUAAGCAGAUCUGUAGAAAUGAGUCAUGUCUUUGUCCAGCUCAGUUCAGUUCUCAAUAGCAUCAGUGCAUCAUUUACAAUAAUGGAAUAAACAAAACUGCACUGAAUGUAAUGUGUAUUUGUCUGUUUCUAGGAGAGCAUCAACGCCUAAUUGACAUGAGGAAUAAAUCAUUGAAAAGUGUUCAGCGUUUGCAACAGAGGAAGCAUUAGGAAAGAGGAGAAGAGAGAAAGUGAAAAUGUUGGUGAGACUUGAUUUCUGGAAAUGCAUUAAAGUUCACUCACAUUCAGCCACAAAUGUAAACCUGAUUUUAGAUGGUAUUUAAAUGAGAUUAAUAACUCCAGCUACUUGUAGGCCUACAGCCCUGUAUAUUUCACACUAAAUAAAUUGUGAUGAACAGUGGCGGCUCCAGGAUUUUUUUGUUAGGGGUGCUAAGGAGGGGCUUAACAGUUCAAAGGGGGUGCUAAAAAAAAUAAUUAAACUGAGAGAAACUGUGUAACAUUCACCGUGAUUUUAUGUGUUUUUCCCCAUCUAUAGAUCCAUAUAACGAUUCAGAGAGGUGCAGCAGUACCUUCUUUGGAGCAAUGCACAACAUGCAGCAAAAAUGUUCACUGCCCUUUUUGUGUUAGCAGUAUUUUCAAACCGACAAGACAAGACAAAUUGAACGCACACAUUAAAAACCACUUCAAAAAGGCCGUUGUCCAUGGAGUUAACCUGUCAAAUAGAGACACCUUCACUUAUCUGAUACCUACCUCAUGGUCUCCUUCUGUUCCGUGAGAGAAGACCAGACCUCAAUAUGGAUUAUAAUAAUGACUCUCCAGAGGAGUAUCUGCUGCUUCAUCUCCGCCAAGAUGGCCGUCCCCUGGAGAGUUAUGUGGAGGAGUUUGUUGAGCAUGUCCAUCUGGUAAGUUGGAGCGAUUCUGUUCUGAAUCACAUUUUGCUGAGUGGGCUGGAUGACGAUCUGCUAAUCAUCCUUAUGCU
Molecule: long non-coding RNA, 2549 nt
Organism: Onychostoma macrolepis
Lineage: Eukaryota; Metazoa; Chordata; Actinopteri; Cypriniformes; Cyprinidae
Exons: 3
Source: RefSeq, a predicted model, not a curated record